AUGGUAUUGGUGGAAGAGAUGUAUUCUUUUGUAGGAAACAAGACAAAUUGGUAUGUGAAAAAGGCUUUUUCUUUAAGAGGUGGUGGAUUGCUACAUCGGUCAGUAAAUAGCAGGGUCCUCUACUGGAAUACAGAGAAUCUCAGAGGUAAAAUCACUUUAGCUGGCACGAUUAUCACUGUUCACUGCUGUAUUCAAAAUGCUGCUGAAUGUGAUAAUGAGCGAUGUCUUUUUUCCAUCACUUCAAUACAGGUUCUUGAUUAUUGGCUUCUCAGCACAUCUUCCAGAUAAAGAGGCAGAGCACAUGGUAGUAUACUGAACAUCUACCUGAGGGGUUAACACAUUGUGACUCUCUUUGAUCACAGUGGCUGUCCUCACUCUCGCCCAACCUCCUCCUGAAGUGUUCUGCAACUUUCUCCUUUAGUAAGCAGGUUCAUGUGGUAGCCACAGACACUGAGGUAACAAAAUUAUAUUAACUAUAUUUCUGGCAAGUGUUUGAACUCUCCUAAUUACUCUUUUCUUACUCUGAUCAGACUUUAAUGUGUAUGUCAUCUUGCAUGAGAAAGGUUUUGAUCAUUUCUGUGAAUUAAGGAAAAAAGAUCCUGUGAGAUGUGAGAUUCUGAAGGAAAAU
Molecule: long non-coding RNA, 628 nt
Filed under: Phasianus colchicus (ring-necked pheasant)
Lineage: Eukaryota; Metazoa; Chordata; Aves; Galliformes; Phasianidae
Description: lncRNA (ENSPCLG00000011317.1)
Source: RNAcentral